GGCGUGCCUCAUACAUGCAAGUCGAACGAGAAAGUGAUUUUCGAAUCGCGAGUAAAGUGGCGAACGGGUGAGUAACGCGUGGGUAAUCUGCCCUCGAGUGGGGAAUAACAUUCCUAACGGGAUGCUAAUACCGCAUAACACCAUCGUGUCGCAUGGUACGGUGGUCAAAGGUGGCCUCUACUUGUAAGCUAUCGCUUGAGGAUGAGCCCGCGUUUCAUUAGCUUGUUGGUGAGGUAACGGCUCACCAAGGCAUCGAUGAAUAGCCGGCCUGAGAGGGUGUCCGGCCACACUGGGACUGAGAUACGGCCCAGACUCCUACGGGAGGCAGCAGUAGGGAAUUUUACGCAAUGGGGGAAACCCUGACGCAGCAACGCCGCGUGGGUGAUGAAGCUCCUUGGAGUGUAAAACCCUGUCAGGAGGGAAGAAGCUAUCAUCGGGAUAACACCUCGAUGAUGUGUCGGUACCUCCAGAGGAAGCUCCGGCUAACUCCGUG
Molecule: ribosomal RNA, 493 nt
Filed under: uncultured bacterium
Lineage: Bacteria
Description: bacterial SSU rRNA
Rfam family: Bacterial small subunit ribosomal RNA
Source: RNAcentral